UACGGAGGGUGCGAGCGUUACUCGGAAUCACUGGGCGUAAAGGGCGCGUAGGCGGCCGGGCAAGUCUGGUGUGAAAGCCCAGGGCUCAACCCUGGAAGGGCACUGGAAACUGUCUGGCUUGAGUUCCGGAGAGGAGGGGGGAAUUCCCGGUGUAGCGGUGAAAUGCGUAGAGAUCAGGAGGAACACCAGUAGCGAAGGCGGCCAUCUGGCUGAUAACUGACGCUGAGGUGCGAGAGCGUGGGGAGCAAACAGG
Molecule: ribosomal RNA, 253 nt
Filed under: uncultured microorganism
Description: partial 16S ribosomal RNA
Rfam family: Bacterial small subunit ribosomal RNA
Source: RNAcentral